AGACUUUGAUCCUGGCUCAGGACGAACGCUGGCGGCAGGCUUAACACAUGCAAGUCGAACGCACCUUCGGGUGAGUGGCAGACGGGUGAGUAACGCGUGGGAAUCUACCUUUUGGUACGGAAUAGCUCCGGGAAACUGGAAUUAAUACCGUAUGUGCCCUUUGGGGGAAAGAUUUAUCGCCAAGAGAUGAGCCUAGGUCGGAUUAGCUAGUUGGUGAGGUAAAGGCUCACCAAGGCGACGAUCCGUAGCUGGUCUGAGAGGAUGAUCAGCCACACUGGAACUGAGACACGGUCCAGACUCCUACGGGAGGCAGCAGUGGGGAAUAUGGGACAAUGGGCGAAAGCCUGAUCCAGCCAUGCCGCGUGUGUGAAGAAAGUCUUAGUGUUGCAAAGCCUCUUUCACCCGCGAAGAUGAUGACCGGUAGCCGGGAGAAGGAGCCCCCGGCUAACUCC
This 452-nucleotide ribosomal RNA is filed under the name uncultured bacterium. RNAcentral's name for it is "bacterial SSU rRNA". It matches the Rfam family "Bacterial small subunit ribosomal RNA", at positions 8 to 504 of the family's 1533-position model. The record is from RNAcentral.